This 21-nucleotide non-coding RNA is filed under the name Caenorhabditis elegans. The record is from RNAcentral. Lineage: Eukaryota; Metazoa; Nematoda; Chromadorea; Rhabditida; Rhabditidae.
UGGGUAUUUGACAAUUUUUGA